RNAcentral lists this ribosomal RNA (467 nucleotides) under uncultured bacterium. RNAcentral's name for it is "bacterial SSU rRNA". It matches the Rfam family "Bacterial small subunit ribosomal RNA", at positions 28 to 507 of the family's 1533-position model. The record is from RNAcentral.
GACGAACGCUGGCGGCGCGCCUAACACAUGCAAGUCGAACGAGAGAUGAGGAGCUUGCUCUUCAAAUCGAGUGGCGAACGGGUGAGUAACGCGUGAGGAACCUGCCUCAAAGAGGGGGACAACAGUUGGAAACGACUGCUAAUACCGCAUAAGCCCACGGCUCGGCAUCGAGCAGAGGGAAAAGGAGCAAUCCGCUUUGAGAUGGCCUCGCGUCCGAUUAGCUAGUUGGUGAGGUAAUGGCCCACCAAGGCGACGAUCGGUAGCCGGACUGAGAGGUUGAACGGCCACAUUGGGACUGAGACACGGCCCAGACUCCUACGGGAGGCAGCAGUGGGGAAUAUUGCACAAUGGGGGGAACCCUGAUGCAGCGACGCCGCGUGGAGGAAGAAGGGUCUUCGGAUUGUAAACUCCUGUUGUUGAGGAAGAUAAUGACGGUACUCAACAAGGAAGUGACGGCUAACUACGUG